Molecule: ribosomal RNA, 505 nt
Filed under: Pygmarrhopalites sp. A5 AK-2018
Lineage: Eukaryota; Metazoa; Arthropoda; Collembola; Symphypleona; Arrhopalitidae
Description: partial 16S ribosomal RNA
Source: RNAcentral
CAUUUUCUUUAGUUUUAAUAUUAGAUAAAGUCUGCCCACUGAGUAUUAAAGGGCCGCAGUAUUCUAACUGUGCAAAGGUAGCAUAAUCAUUUGCCCCCUAAUUAGGGGAUUGGAUGAAUGGCUUAACAAUCUAGUUUUUUUUUAUUAUUAUUUUAAUGAAUUUAAUUUUUUGGUGAUAAUUCCUUAUUAAUAUUUAUAGACGAUAAGACCCUAUAGAUCUUUAUUUUUUAAACUAGUAUGGUUUAUUGGGGAUGAUAUAUUUUAAUUUAAAUUGUUUUACUGGGGAAGUAAAAGAGUGAGUUUUUUCUCUUUAGAGUUAGUUUUUUUAAUUUAAAUGAUCUUUAUUUUUAAUUUAAAAAGUUACCUUAGGGAUAACAGCGUAAUAUAUUUGGUGAGUUCAUAUCGAUAAACUAUCUUGCGACCUCGAUGUUGAAUUAAGGUUAAUUUUUGGGGUAGAUUUUAUUUUAUUGAGUCUGUUCGACUAUUAUGAUCUUACAUGAUUUGA